CCUACGGGUCGCAGCAGUGGGGAAUAUUGCACAAUGGGGGAAACCCUGCUGCAGCGACGCCGCGUGAGUGAAGAAGUAUUUCGGUACGUAAAGCUCUAUCAGCAGGGAAGAAAAUGACGGUACCUGACUAAGAAGCCCCGGCUAACUACGUGCCAGCGACCGCGGUAAUACGUAGGGGGCAAGCGUUAUACGGAUUUACUGGGUGUAAAGGGAGCGUAGACGGCUGUGCAAGUCUGAAGUGAAAGCCCGUGGCUCAACCGCGGAACUGCUUUGGAAACUGUAUGGCUUGAGUACUGGAGAGUCAGGCUGAAUUCCUAGUGUAGCGGUGAAAUGCGUAGCUAUUAGGAGGAACACCAGUGGCGAAGGCGGCCUGCUGGACAGAAACUGACGUUGAGGCUCGAAAGCGUGGGGAGCAAACAGGAUUAGAUACCCUAGUAGUC
RNAcentral lists this ribosomal RNA (440 nucleotides) under uncultured bacterium. Its description in RNAcentral is "partial 16S ribosomal RNA". It matches the Rfam family "Bacterial small subunit ribosomal RNA", at positions 338 to 795 of the family's 1533-position model. The record is from RNAcentral.